This 253-nucleotide ribosomal RNA is filed under the name uncultured bacterium. Its description in RNAcentral is "partial 16S ribosomal RNA". It matches the Rfam family "Bacterial small subunit ribosomal RNA", at positions 524 to 776 of the family's 1533-position model. The record is from RNAcentral.
UACAGAGGUCCCAAGCGUUGUUCGGAUUUACUGGGCGUAAAGGGUGCGUAGGUGGUCGGGUAAGUCUGAUGUGAAAUCUCGGAGCUUAACUCCGAAACUGCAUUGGAUACUAUUCGGCUUGAGAGUUGGAGGGGGGACUGGAAUUCUCGGUGUAGCAGUGAAAUGCGUAGAUAUCGAGAGGAACACCAGUGGCGAAGGCGAGUCCCUGGACAACUUCUGACACUAAGGCACGAAAGCUAGGGGAGCAAACAGG